RNAcentral lists this ribosomal RNA (482 nucleotides) under uncultured bacterium. Its description in RNAcentral is "partial 16S ribosomal RNA". It matches the Rfam family "Bacterial small subunit ribosomal RNA", at positions 30 to 507 of the family's 1533-position model. The record is from RNAcentral.
AUUGAACGCUGGCGGCAGGCCUAACACAUGCAAGUCGAGCGGAUGAAGGGAGCUUGCUCCUGGAUUCAGCGGCGGACGGGUGAGUAAUGCCUAGGAAUCUGCCUGGUAGUGGGGGAUAACGUCCGGAAACGGGCGCUAAUACCGCAUACGACCUGAGGGAGAAAGUGGGGGAUCUUCGGACCUCACGCUAUCAGAUGAGCCUAGGUCGGAUUAGCUAGUUGGUGGGGUAAAGGCCUACCAAGGCGACGAUCCGUAACUGGUCUGAGAGGAUGAUCAGUCACACUGGAACUGAGACACGGUCCAGACUCCUACGGGAGGCAGCAGUGGGGAAUAUUGGACAAUGGGCGAAAGCCUGAUCCAGCCAUGCCGCGUGUGAAGAAGGUCUUCGGAUUGUAAAGCACUUUAAGUUGGGAGGAAGGGCAGUAAGUUAAUACCUUGCUGUUUUGACGUUACCAACAGAAUAAGCACCGGCUAACUUCGUG